RNAcentral lists this ribosomal RNA (662 nucleotides) under uncultured bacterium. RNAcentral describes it as "bacterial SSU rRNA". It matches the Rfam family "Bacterial small subunit ribosomal RNA", at positions 220 to 895 of the family's 1533-position model. The record is from RNAcentral.
GAAAGAUGGCCUCGCGUCUGAUUAGCUAGUUGGCGGGGUAACGGCCCACCAAGGCGACGAUCAGUAGCCGGUCUGAGAGGAUGAACGGCCACAUUGGGACUGAGAUACGGCCCAGACUCCUACGGGAGGCAGCAGUGGGGAAUAUUGGGCAAUGGGGGAAACCCUGACCCAGCAACGCCGCGUGAAGGAAGAAGGCCCUCGGGUUGUAAACUUCUUUUACCAGGGACGAAGGACGUGACGGUACCUGGAGAAAAAGCAACGGCUAACUACGUGCCAGCAGCCGCGGUAAUACGUAGGUUGCAAGCGUUGUCCGGAUUUACUGGGUGUAAAGGGCGUGUAGGCGGAGAUGCAAGUUGGGAGUGAAAUCCCGGGGCUCAACCCCGGAACUGCUUUCAAAACUGUAUCCCUUGAGUAUCGGAGAGGCAAGCGGAAUUCCUAGUGUAGCGGUGAAAUGCGUAGAUAUUAGGAGGAACACCAGUGGCGAAGGCGGCUUGCUGGACGACAACUGACGCUGAGGCGCGAAAGCGUGGGGAGCAAACAGGAUUAGAUACCCUGGUAGUCCACGCUGUAAACGAUGAAUACUAGGUGUGGGAGGACUGACCCCUUCCGUGCCGCAGUUAAACACAAUAAGUAUUCCACCUGGGGAGUACGACCGCAAGGUU